This is a long non-coding RNA of Homo sapiens (human), 815 nucleotides long. Ensembl annotates it as CBR3 antisense RNA 1. Its record names the gene CBR3-AS1. The record is from Ensembl. NCBI's taxonomy places the organism in Eukaryota, Metazoa, Chordata, Mammalia, Primates, Hominidae.
GAGGCUGAGACAGGAGAAUCGCUUGAACCUGGGAGGCGGAGACUACAGUGAGCCGAAAUUGUGCCACUGUACUCUAGCCUGGAUGACAGAGCGAGACUCUGUCUCAAAAAAAAAAAAAAAAAAAGAAAAGAAAAAAAAAGAAAAGAAAAUUUCUUUUGGGUUUUCUGAAUCAACUUGAGAAAGUAUGGUAUAAGAAGAAAGGAAUAUAGGAAAAGUUGUAAUGCUAAAACAGAUACCAAGGUCCAGAGAUGAGCUAGAUGUGGGCCCAUCACCUUGGAGGGCUGGAGGACUCAUGAGAUUGACCAGAGGCAAGCGGCCUUUGGGGACUCACAGCAUUCUAUCAUUCUAGGAUUGAGUUCAUGACAUGGAUCCCAAAAGCAUUGUGAUAUGUCACACUUAUCUUUGGAACUUAAAGCUAAGGCGUGAGCCAUCGCACCUGGCCUGAGUUUGCAUUUCUAGGUUCCCAGAUGAUGUGACAGCUACUGGUCUCCAGCCACACCUUGAGAACACUUGGCUUUGACUACCACUUCUUAAACUUAAAGGAAAACUAGACAAUCCACCAGCCCAGGAGGGGACAAGCAGGCUUAUUCCUCCUCCUCGUCAUCUCUGGCUCCAGCCCCACCCUGGCCCUUGCUGGCAUUCUUCCUCUUCACGUGGCUGGGGUUGGCCACCCCAAUAGGGAAGCAGAGGGAGAAGUCAAUGUGCUUCUGGGAAUCCAGGCGGACAGUGAAGAACAGGAUAUUUACCACCUGCUCACGGACACGGAUAUGACACUGUUGAAUCAGCACAUGAGCGUGGCGGAUGGACUUAGCCAA